AUUCAACUGAAGAGUCCCAAAAAGGACGAAACACCCUAACUGAAU
RNAcentral lists this non-coding RNA (45 nucleotides) under Schistosoma mattheei. Lineage: Eukaryota; Metazoa; Platyhelminthes; Trematoda; Strigeidida; Schistosomatidae. The record is from RNAcentral.